CAAGUAGCGUGCAGGAGGACGGCCCUACGGGUUGUAAACUGCUUUUAUGCGGGGAUAAAGUGAGGGACGUGUCCCUUUUUGCAGGUACCGCAUGAAUAAGGACCGGCUAAUUCCGUGCCAGCAGCCGCGGUAAUACGGAAGGUCCGGGCGUUAUCCGGAUUUAUUGGGUUUAAAGGGAGCGUAGGCCGGGGAUUAAGUGUGUUGUGAAAUGUAGGCGCCCAACGUCUGACUUGCAGCGCAUACUGGUUCCCUUGAGUACGCGCAACGCCGGCGGAAUUCGUCGUGUAGCGGUGAAAUGCUUAGAUAUGACGAAGAACCCCGAUUGCGAAGGCAGCCGGCGGGAGCGCAACUGACGCUGAAGCUCGAAGGUGCGGGUAUCGAACAGGAUUAGAUACCCUGGUAGUCCGCACGGUAAACGAUGGAUGCCCGCUGUCGGCGCCUUGCGCCGGCGGCCAAGCGAAAGCGUUAAGCAUCCCACCUGGGGAGUACGCCGGCAACGGUGAAACUCAAAGGAAUUGACGGGGGCCCGCACUAGCGGAGGAACAUGUGGUUUAAUUCGAUGAUACGCGAGGAACCUUACC
RNAcentral lists this ribosomal RNA (581 nucleotides) under Prevotella denticola. RNAcentral's name for it is "bacterial SSU rRNA". It matches the Rfam family "Bacterial small subunit ribosomal RNA", at positions 393 to 975 of the family's 1533-position model. Lineage: Bacteria; Pseudomonadati; Bacteroidota; Bacteroidia; Bacteroidales; Prevotellaceae. The record is from RNAcentral.